AUUGAACGCUGGCGGCAGGCCUAACACAUGCAAGUCGAACGAGUGGCGGACGGGUGAGUAAUGUCUGGGAAACUGCCUGAUGGAGGGGGAUAACUACUGGAAACGGUAGCUAAUACCGCAUACCAUCAGAUGUGCCCAGAUUGGAUUAGCUUGUUGGUGGGGUAACGGCUCACCAAGGCGACGAUCCCUAGCUGGUCUGAGAGGAUGAACGGCCACACUGGAACUGAGACACGGCCCAGACUCCUACGUGAGGCAGCAGUUGGGAAUAUUGCACAAUGGGCGCAAGCCUGAUACAGCCAUGCCGCGUGUAUGAAGAAGGCCUUCGGGUUGUAAAGUACUUUCAGCGGGGAGGCGUUACCCACAGAAGAAGCACCGGCUAACUCCGUGCCAGCAGCCGCGGUAAUUC
RNAcentral lists this ribosomal RNA (406 nucleotides) under uncultured bacterium. Its description in RNAcentral is "partial 16S ribosomal RNA". It matches the Rfam family "Bacterial small subunit ribosomal RNA", at positions 30 to 526 of the family's 1533-position model. The record is from RNAcentral.